GACGAACGCUGGCGGCGUGCCUAAUACAUGCAAGUAGAACGCUGAAGAGAGGAGCUUGCUCUUCUUGGAUGAGUUGCGAACGGGUGAGUAACGCGUAGGUAACCUGCCUUGUAGCGGGGGAUAACUAUUGGAAACGAUAGCUAAUACCGCAUAACAAUGGAUGACACAUGUCAUUUAUUUGAAAGGGGCAAUUGCUCCACUACAAGAUGGACCUGCGUUGUAUUAGCUAGUAGGUGAGGUAACGGCUCACCUAGGCGACGAUACAUAGCCGACCUGAGAGGGUGAUCGGCCACACUGGGACUGAGACACGGCCCAGACUCCUACGGGAGGCAGCAGUAGGGAAUCUUCGGCAAUGGGGGCAACCCUGACCGAGCAACGCCGCGUGAGUGAAGAAGGUUUUCGGAUCGUAAAGCUCUGUUGUAAGUCAAGAACGAGUGUGAGAGUGGAACGUUCACACUGUGACGGUAGCUUACCAGAAAGGGACGGCUAACUACGUG
RNAcentral lists this ribosomal RNA (497 nucleotides) under uncultured bacterium. Its description in RNAcentral is "partial 16S ribosomal RNA". It matches the Rfam family "Bacterial small subunit ribosomal RNA", at positions 28 to 507 of the family's 1533-position model. The record is from RNAcentral.